GGAGUACCUGGUGUCCAGAACUAUCUGGACGAUCUAAUAGUUUACGGUGCCACUGCUGAUGAACACGAUCGGACUCUCCAUACUGUCCUGCUAAAACUCAAAGAGGCUGGACUGGUUCUGAAUGAUGAAAAGUGCCAUUUCAGAAAGACCACACUCCGCUUCCUUGGCCAUGUCAUUACCGCAGAUGGUAUUUUGCCCGACCAAGAGCACGUUAAUGCAAUACUUCAAGCUCCCGCACCAUCUGAUGCUGCUGCCUUACGAUCCUUUUUGGGCCUUGCUUCAUGGUACUCAAAGUUUAUUCCGAAUUUUGCAACGGUGGUGGCUCCCAUGCGUGAAUGUGUAAAAGAUAAAGAGACUUUCACAUGGUCUGCAGCUGCCCAGACCAGUUUUGAUGAGGUCAAGCAGCUCUUAGUGUCCAGCUCUGCCCUAGCUCUGUACGACCCCUCCCUACGCUCAGUGAUCUCGACUGAUGCCUGUGAUUAUGGACUGGGUGCUGUGUUUGCCCAAAUUCAGCCAGAUGGUACAGAGAAACCGGUAGCUUUUGCUUCACGUACACUUACAAUGGCAGAGCGUAAAUACUCAAUUGUGGAAAAAGAGGCACUUGCAUGCGUGUGGGCUACAGAAAAGUGGCGCACGUAUUUGUGGGGCAGGCGCUUUACUUUGCGCACGGACCACCAGGCACUCACAACCUUACUCACUACCAAAGGAAUGAAUAGGGCUGGAUUGCGCAUUGCCCGCUGGUCGGCGCGUCUGCUUUGUUUUGACUACGAUGUCGUUUACAAGCCAGGUUCACAAAACCAUACAGCAGACUGCCUUUCACGUCUCCCUCUGCAUGUGCUAGCGGAUCCUUCUACAGAUGUGGAACCUGAACAUGUAGCUCUGAUUUCUUCCACACUGAGUUCCCUUCCGGUCCCUGACUUUGACCGUGCUUGUUCCUCAUGUUCAGAAAUGGUGGCUCUUAGUGAACAGAUUAGCCGUGGCUGGCCUCCAUCUAUACGGGCUGUUGCCCAGAAUCUAAUGCCCU
Molecule: long non-coding RNA, 1024 nt
Filed under: Sinocyclocheilus anshuiensis
Lineage: Eukaryota; Metazoa; Chordata; Actinopteri; Cypriniformes; Cyprinidae
Description: lncRNA (ENSSANG00000000528.1)
Source: RNAcentral